AGCGAACGCUGGCGGCAGGCUUAACACAUGCAAGUCGAGCGGCCGUAGCAAUACGGCAGCGGCAGACGGGAGAGUAACACGUGGGAACGUACCCUUCAGUACGGAACAACCAAGGGAAACUUUGGCUAAUACCGUAUACGUCCGUAAGGAGAAAGAUUUAUCGCUGAAGGAUCGGCCCGCGUCUGAUUAGCUAGUUGGUGAGGUAACGGCUCACCAAGGCGACGAUCAGUAGCUGGUCUGAGAGGAUGAUCAGCCUCACUGGGACUGAGACACGGCCCAGACUCCUACGGGAGGCAGCAGUGGGGAAUAUUGGACAAUGGGCGCAAGCCUGAUCCAGCCAUGCCGCGUGGAUGAUGAAGGCCCUAGGGUUGUAAAGUCCUUUUAACGGGGAAGAUAAUGACGGUACCCGUAGAAUAAGCCCCGGCUAACUUCGUGCCAGCCGCCGCGGUAA
This 451-nucleotide ribosomal RNA is filed under the name uncultured bacterium. RNAcentral's name for it is "partial 16S ribosomal RNA". It matches the Rfam family "Bacterial small subunit ribosomal RNA", at positions 29 to 523 of the family's 1533-position model. The record is from RNAcentral.